This 1242-nucleotide ribosomal RNA is filed under the name metagenome. RNAcentral describes it as "bacterial LSU rRNA". It matches the Rfam family "Bacterial large subunit ribosomal RNA", at positions 1564 to 2816 of the family's 2925-position model. The record is from RNAcentral.
UGAAUACGAGACGCUAAGGCGUCGAAGUAGUGUAUAUCAGACUUCCAAGAAAAGCUUGCACUGUCAUAGAUAAAAAAUGCCUGUACCAUAACCGACACAGGUGGGUAGGUAGAGUAUACUAAGGGGCGCGAGAUAACUCUCUCUAAGGAACUCGGCAAAAUAACUCCGUAACUUCGGGAGAAGGAGUGCCUUAUUUAUAAGGUUGCAAUAACAAGAUCCAAGCAACUGUUUAUCAAAAACACAGGUCUCCGCUAAGUCGUAAGACGAUGUAUGGGGGCUGACGCCUGCCCAGUGCCAGAAGGUUAAAGAAGUUGGUUAGCAAUUGCGAAGCUGAUAACUGAAGCCCUGGUGAACGGCGGCCGUAACUAUAACGGUCCUAAGGUAGCGAAAUUCCUUGUCGGGUAAGUUCCGACCCGCACGAAAGGCGUAAUGAUUUGGAUACUGUCUCGGAGAGGGGCUCGGUGAAAUAGACUUGUCUGUGAAGAUGCGGACUACCUGCACCAGGACAGAAAGACCCUAUGAAGCUUUACUGUAACUUGAAAUUGAAAUUGGACUUUAUUCGCGCAGCAUAGGUGGGAGGCGUUGAUUAUAAUCUUGCGGGAUUAUUGGAGCCAUCAGUGAGAUACCACUCUUGUAAUGUUAGAUUUCUAACUUUGAAUCAUUAUCUGGUCAAAGAACAGUUUCAGGCGGGCAGUUUGACUGGGGCGGUCGCCUCCUAAAUGGUAACGGAGGCGUACAAAGGUUUCCUCUGAACGGUUAGAAAUCGUAUCUAGAGUGUAAAGGCAUAAGGAAGCUUGACUGUGAGACCUACAAGUCGAGCAGGGACGAAAGUCGGUCUUAGUGAUCUGACGGUACUGAGUGGAAAGGCCGUCACUCAACGGAUAAAAGUUACUCUAGGAUAACAGGCUGAUCUCCCCCAAGAGUUCACAUCGACGGGGAGGUUUGGCACCUCGAUGUCGGCUCAUCGCAUCCUGGGGCGGUAGUACGUCCCAAGGGUUGGGCUGUUCGCCCAUGAAAGCGGUACGCGAGCUGGGUUCAGAACGUCGUGAGACAGUUCGGUCCAUAUCCGGUGUAGGCGUUAGAAUAUUGAGAGGAGCCUUCUUUAGUACGAGAGGACCGAGAAGGACAUACCUCUGGUGUACCAGUUAUCGUGCCAACGGUAAACGCUGGGUAGCUAUGUAUGGAGUGGAUAACCGCUGAAAGCAUCUAAGUGGGAAGCCCACCUCAAGAUAAGUAUUCUCU